Molecule: ribosomal RNA, 2117 nt
Filed under: invertebrate metagenome
Description: bacterial LSU rRNA
Rfam family: Bacterial large subunit ribosomal RNA
Source: RNAcentral
CUAAGCUACUAAGGGCAGACGGUGGAUGCCUUGGUGCCAAGCGGCGAUGAAAGACGUGGUAAGCUGCGAUAAGCUUCGGGGAGGAGCUAAACAUCCUUUGAUCCGGAGAUUUCUGAAUGGGGAAACCCGAUGCGGUUAAUCCUGCAUCAUCAUAUACUGAAUACAUAGGUAUAUGAGGCUAACGAGGGGAACUGAAACAUCUUAGUACCCUCAGGAAGAGAAAAUAAUAAUGAUUUCCUAAGUAGCGGCGAGCGAACGGGAAUUAGCCCAAACCGAUCAUAUGUAAGCCUGGAAGCGUUGUAUGAUUGGGGUCGUGGGGCUUGAUUGGAGGAGGUUCCAGCCUCUUCGGGAAGUUACAAAUCUGAUAUAUAGCUGAAUAAUCUGGAAAGGUUAUCCAUAGAAGGUGACAGGCCUGUAGGCGAAAUGUAUCAGACUUCCUGGAUCGAGAACCCAAGUACCGCGGGACACGAGAAACCCUGUGGGAAUUUGUGAGGACCAUCUCACGAGGCUAAAUACGUCUUGGCGACCGAUAGUGUACCAGUACCGUGAGGGAAAGGUGAAAAGCACCCCGGUGAGGGGAGUGAAAUAGUACCUGAAACCGUCUGCUUACAAGCAGUGGGAGCACUAUGUUCUUCGGAACAGUGUGACUGCGUGCCUUUUGCAUAAUGAGUCAGCGAGUUACUUUACGUAGCAAGGUUAAGCCGUCAGGUGUAGCCGUAGCGAAAGCGAGUCUUAAUAGGGCGACUAAGUUGCGUGGAGUAGACCCGAAACCAAGUGAUCUAUCCAUGGCCAGGGUGAAGCGGGAGUAAAAUCUCGUGGAGGCCCGAACCGCCGUACGUUGAAAAGUACUCGGAUGAGCUGUGGAUAGGGGUGAAAGGCCAAACAAACUUGGAAAUAGCUGGUUCUCCCCGAAAUAUAUUUAGGUAUAGCCUUGCGAAAUUAAGCAACGGGGGUAGAGCACUGAAUAGGCUAGGGGCCCCACCAGGUUACCAACCCUAAUCAAACUCCGAAUACCGUUGACUUCUAUCGCAGGAGUCAGACUACGGGAGCUAAGUUCCGUGGUCGAGAGGGAAACAGCCCAGACCGUCAGCUAAGGUCCCCAAAUGUGUGCUAAGUGGUGAAGGAUGUGGGAAUGCACAGACAACCAGGAGGUUGGCUUAGAAGCAGCCACCCUUUAAAGAAAGCGUAACAGCUCACUGGUCAAGUGAGCCUGCGCCGAAGAUGUAACGGGGCUCAAGUACACUACCGAAGCUACGGAAUGAAAUUUAUUUCAUUGGUAGGGGAGCAUUGCCUGCGGGCUGAAGCAUGACCGUAAGGACAUGUGGACUGCAGGGAAGAGACCAUGCUGACAUGAGUAGCGAUAAAGCGGGUGAGAAACCCGCUCGCCGUAAGCCAAAGGUUUCCUGAGUAAAGCUAAUCUGCUCAGGGUUAGUCGAUCCCUAAGCCGAGGCCGAAAGGCGUAGGUAAUGGAAAACAGGUUAAUAUUCCUGUACCACCUGAUCAUCGUUUGAGAGAAGGGGGGACGCAGAAGGGUAGGUCAUCCACCUGUUGGAAUAGGUGGUUUAAGCGAGUAGGCUUGGAAGAUAGGCAAAUCCGUUUUCCUUUAAGGCUGAGACGUGAUGACGAGGGGUUUACCCCAUAAAGUGAUUGAUCCCAUACUGCCAAGAAAAGCCUCUAUCGAGAUGAUAAGGUGAUCGUACCGCAAACCGACACAGGUAGGCAGGGAGAGAAUCCCAAGGCGCUUGAGAGAACUCUGGUUAAGGAACUCGGCAAAAUGACACCGUAACUUCGGGAGAAGGUGUGCCCUCGUUAAGUGAAGCAACUGGCUUGCUGAGCUGAAGGGGGUCGCAGAGAAACGGCGGUAGCGACUGUUUACUAAAAACACAGGACUCUGCUAAGUCGCAAGACGAUGUAUAGGGUCUGACGCCUGCCCGGUGCUGGAAGGUUAAGGGGAUGUGUUAGCGUUUCGGCGCGAAGCAUUGAACCGAAGCCCCAGUAAACGGCGGCCGUAACUAUAACGGUCCUAAGGUAGCGAAAUUCCUUGUCGGGUAAGUUCCGACCUGCACGAAUGGCGUAACGACUUCCGCACUGUCUCAACCAGAGACUCAGCGAAAUUG